RNAcentral lists this ribosomal RNA (497 nucleotides) under uncultured bacterium. Its description in RNAcentral is "partial 16S ribosomal RNA". It matches the Rfam family "Bacterial small subunit ribosomal RNA", at positions 28 to 507 of the family's 1533-position model. The record is from RNAcentral.
GAUGAACGCUGGCGGCGUGCCUAAUACAUGCAAGUCGAGCGAACAGACGAGGAUGUUUGCCCUCUCUCAUUAUCGGCGCAGGGGUGAGAAUCACGUGUGUAAACUCUAUAUAAGACUGUGAUAUCAUCUGGAAACACGAGCUAAUACACGAUAUAAUAUUGAACUUCAUGGUUAGAUAUUGAAAAACGGAUUUGCUCUGUCUUAUAUAUGUAUCCGCGCCGCAUUAGCUGGUUGUGGAGGUAACGGCUUACCAAGGCAACGCUACAUAGCCGACCUGAGAGGGUGAUCGGCCACACUGGAACUGAGACACGGCCCAGACUCCUACGGGAGGCAGCAGUAGGGAAUCUUCCGCAAUGGGCGAAAGUCUGACGGAGCAAUGCCGCGUGAGUGAAGAAGGUUUUCGGAUCGUAAAACUCUGUUAUAAGGGAAGAACAAGUAUGUUAGUAACUGAACGCACCUUGACGGUACCUAAUCAGAAAGCCACGGCUAACUACGUG